This 1472-nucleotide ribosomal RNA is filed under the name Eriauchenus sp. 3 HMW-2014. RNAcentral describes it as "Eriauchenius sp. 3 HMW-2014 partial 28S ribosomal RNA". It matches the Rfam family "Eukaryotic large subunit ribosomal RNA", at positions 102 to 1139 of the family's 3401-position model. Lineage: Eukaryota; Metazoa; Arthropoda; Arachnida; Araneae; Archaeidae. The record is from RNAcentral.
GAAGAGUCCAGCGCCGAAUCCCCGCUUUCCGAAAGGUGGCGGGGAAAUGUGGCGUAUGGGAGACCGCGUGCCGUCGGCGACGUCCCCGGAGCAAGUCCCCUUGAUCGGGGCGAGCUCAUGCGACCGGAGCGGGUGCAAGUCCCGUAGCCCGGGGUUAAUAACUGUCCGGCGGAGUGCGGUCUCUCUCGAGUCGGGUUGCUUGAGAGUGCAGCCCUAAGAAAGGUGGUAAACUCCAUCUAAGACUAAAUACUGCCUCGAGACCGAUAGCGAACAAGUACCGUGAGGGAAAGUUGCAAAGAACUUUGAAGAGAGAGUUCAAGAGUACGUGAAACUGUUCAGAGGAAAACGGGUGGGCGUUCGAAGCCCCCGUCGGCAGUCUUUUCGGAUUCAGUCCGCACCGCGGUCGGUAUGCACGUCCGAGCGUCCGUCACUUCGCCUCGCCCUCGUAGGCCCGGCGGCUGCGGUUCGCUCGUUCGUUCGCGUCCUUCCGCGGACGGACGCAUUUCCGGAGUUGCCGUUGAAGGGCGCCGCGACCGAUCGGGCACCAAAGAGUGCGGAGAGCUGGCCGGGACUUGUGCGGUUCGGGAGACUGCUCGCUUCGCGUUGGGAGUUCUCUCCCUCGCGGGCGUCUGUCGCUCCCCCGACUUCCACGGCAAAUUUUCAAACAGCUUUCUGUCGUCCGAUCGGCUGGUCCUCGAGACCUAAGGCAGAGGUGCUCUCUCCUCGGGCCACGGUGUCGUUCCGUGCUCGGCUUACCUGCCGGUCGCGCCUCGUGCGCGGCUUCGGUGGUUUCCGGGCGGACGGCUUUCCGGGUCUUCUUAAAGAGGAGAGCAGANNNNNNNNNNNNNNNNNNNNNNNNNNNNNNNNNNNNNNNNNNNNNNNNNNNNNNNNNNNNNNNNNNNNNNGACCAAGGAGUCUAACCCGUGCGCGAGUCGCAGGGUCUUGUUCAGGCCCCGUGGCGGAGCGAAAGCGAAGCCGAGACGCGGCCCCCUAAUUUCUGGGGGUGCGCGGCAUCGGCGGCCCGGCGGAACGGACGGUAGGUCCGGGGACUCGUCGUACCGCUUCGCGGCGUGCGGCGCUACCCGAGUCCUCCGUCUCGCGUCGGAGUCUGAGCGUACGAGUCGGUACCCGAAAGAUGGUGAACUAUGCCUGGCCAGGGCGAAGCCGGAGGAAACUCCGGUGGAGGCCCGAAGCGGUUCUGACGUGCAAAUCGAUCGUCGGAGCGGAGUAUAGGGGCGAAAGACUAAUCGAACCAUCUAGUAGCUGGUUCCCUCCGAAGUUUCCCUCAGGAUAGCUGGCAUUCGAGGAAACUCAGUCUCUCCUCGUAGAGAGAAUGAAUAGAGGCCCUGGGGCCCUAGACGACCUCAACCUAUUAUCAAACUACUACGAGGUGCGUCGUCGGUUCCUGCCGGAUAGAGGAACCGGCUUUUAAGAAAUGGAAAGAUGUGUGAGUGCCGUGUGGGCCAUUUUUG